GGCGGAUUGGAUCCAGAUGACGGGAAAGUUGGGCAAAAUAAAGUUUACCCUAUGGUGCAAGCAGUAACUCUCAAGGUUCAACUCCUUGGUCCGCCACCA
RNAcentral lists this transfer RNA (99 nucleotides) under Acinetobacter junii. RNAcentral's name for it is "tRNA-OTHER". The record is from RNAcentral. Lineage: Bacteria; Pseudomonadati; Pseudomonadota; Gammaproteobacteria; Moraxellales; Moraxellaceae.